RNAcentral lists this transfer RNA (65 nucleotides) under Brachionus calyciflorus. RNAcentral's name for it is "tRNA-Trp". Lineage: Eukaryota; Metazoa; Rotifera; Eurotatoria; Ploima; Brachionidae. The record is from RNAcentral.
AAAAAAUUAGUUUAACCAAAACAUUAGUCUUCAAAACUAAAAAUAUUGAAUCACAGUAUUCUUCA